RNAcentral lists this long non-coding RNA (6828 nucleotides) under Homo sapiens (human). RNAcentral's name for it is "long non-coding RNA NONHSAT215932.1". The record is from RNAcentral. Lineage: Eukaryota; Metazoa; Chordata; Mammalia; Primates; Hominidae.
AACUUCGCUACCUUUUGCAUAUUAACUAUAUUAUGUAGAAAUUGGUUUUCUCAAAAAAUUAUUAUAUUUACCUUAAAUUUUAAAAUAAACCUUAUCAAGCUUGCAAAAGGUACCAGCUGAAUUUUUUUGAAUAAAUAGAAAUUCAUGCUAUUAAACGUUAUGGAAUCUAACCCCCUUUUUUUUUUCAACUUUUUCUAAAAUAUGAGAAGCCAGUCAAGACAGCAAAGGAGAAGAAUCAAUAUUUUAAGAUGUAUUUAUGGUGUCACAUGGAUUCAGAAAGCACUUUUUUCUUUUUAGAAAUAGAUUUGAGGGGAAAAAUAAGGGAAAGACACAAAAUUUAUUGACUAUUACUUUUGCUAUAUAAAAUAUUACCCUCCUUUGGAAUUGUAUAUUCCAUAUAACAUUAUUUUGAAAUAUCUUUCUUUCUCUCUUGCAAUGUGGAAAUAUUUCCCUAUGUUAGCAGUUAGUCUCACUGUUUCACUGAGGGAAAUAAAUCAAAGAAACAGAAUUUUGUGGCCACCUUGAAAUGAACACAAACACUAAGUAACAAAUAUCAGGUACAGACUGAGCACUGGUGGCUCCUCAGAGUUAACUGCCCCCAGCUCUCCAAUUCCUAGUCUGUCUCUCAGCUAAGACUGCUUUUGUGAAUUUUCUGUAUAACAGCAGAUUGUUAGGGAUUCUGCUAGGAUUUAUAGGUAAGUUGUAAAAAAUCUAUUAUUGAAUCAAAUGCCUAUAUUGUGAGUAUCUAAUUCAUAUAUUAUAUCAACUAUGAUUCAGACAUUUAGGUGUUUUCACAUACCUAUAAAUCUAUGGUUGAGAGUGAUUUUAAAAUUUGCUGAAGGCACUUUUUUCCUUUUUCAAAUUAAAAACAUGGUAAGCUUGGCAAAUACCACGUAAGUCACCAGGACAAAAAAGUAGCAAGUUUCCAUUUCUUUUAAUAUUUGUUCUUCUUCUUCUGUCCUGGUCAUUUUCAGCAAACAAGGCAAUAUGUUUUUUAAAUUCUAAUUUCUACAAAAAUAUAUGCUUAUCAUAUUUCUGGCUCUAGAUGGAAGAUCAACUGUUCUAUAAGUACACCAACUUCUUGCAGCUUCCUUUUACAGCGCAAUAUGAGGGUCACCUGUAGACAGAAAUGCAUAGGCUCUGCUCACCUAAACCUCUGCUCAGUUGCUGGCAUUCAUUGCAUAUACUAGUUAAUGAUCUAAAAUUAUAGAUUAUUUCAUGAAAGGAGCUUCCUAAUGCAUGCCUUUUAGACAUCUUUCUUCUUUUUCUCUCUUUACUCCCUUAUUCUCUCAUUGUGAACCAAAUUGGAGAUAAUAGCAUUGAAUCUAUUAACUUUGUCAAGAAUCACUUAAAACAGCACAUUCACCUAAGUACACCCAAGUUCCUGCCAUGCAAUUCUGUAACUGGACAGCCUGCAAUACAACAUGCCAACUCAAUCUUACACUCUUAACAUCCUCUACUUAAACUGAACAAAUUUGGCUUGCUUUGCUACCCACAACUCCACUUCUUCAUAAUUGGACAAUCACCCUUAAUAUUUUUUUGAAAGUAGUAUAUGCCAUCCAUAACACUGUGAGGCAUGCUUUUUUGCUUGUUGCUAUCAUCUGGGGAAUGAGGGAGGUGGGGGAAUGCUAAACUCUUUAAAGUAUGAAAAAACUUCAGAGGGGAAAUCUAUUUUCACUUUGUUAUGGAUGUGUUCACUGGUUAAGAAUGCUUAUAAUAUGGAAAGAAUUCAAUUUUUGAUAAAAUUCCAGACAUAUAGUAGUUAAAGGUAUUCAGUUGUAGGAGUCAUGCACAGUUCAAAAACAAAUACCAUGUGGUUAAGUUAGAUGGUCUUUAAAGAUACAAUGUUAAGUGGUAACUCCUCUGUGUAACCUCUCUUUACUUCUUCACUAUAUAUGACUUGCAAUUUUCUUAGUCAUAAUGAUGUUACAAUAUAUUUUCUCUCUAAAUUUUUAAACCCAAAUGUAUAAUUAAACUGUACUACCUUUUCUCUCCACCCUAGAAGCAUUCAUACAAUAUCUCACUUAUAAAAAACUGAUUAUUGGCUGGGAAUGGUGGCUCACGCCUGCAAUCCCAGCACUUUGGGAGGCCGAGGCAGGUGGAUCACCUGAGGUCAGGAGUUCGAGACCAGCCUAGCCAACAUGGCAAAACCCCAUCUCUACUAAAAAUACAAAAAUUAGCCAGGCGUGGUGGCGCAUGCCUAUGAUCUCAGCUACUCGGGAUGCUGAGGCAGAGGAAUCACUUGAACCCAGGAGGCGGAGGUUGCAGUGAGCUGAGAUUGCACCACUGCACUCCAGCUUGGGAGACAAGGUAAGACCUUGACUCAGAGGAAAAAAAAAAAAAACUGAUUAUUUUGCUUAGUUUUUAUGGUAACUUGAUGACUUUAGCUUUUACAUUUUCUCUGGAAAUUCAAUUAGUUCUUCAGGUUCCUAAGAUUUUAAUUUUCCUCAAAGACAUGCAUUAAUAAUGCACUUGUUUUGUAAAAUAUUGAAUUUUAAUCUGUAUUUUUUGGUGAUCAAAAUUAGAAACAACUUAAAACUUGUGACUCUGAUAUUGCCAACACUUGCCCCACUUCCUGGCCAGCACUUCACUUCAGGAGCCCUCCUUCUCCAACUCCAACUGGUGGGCCCAAGAGAGUGGCCAUGAUCGUAUACAUCUACCCAGACCCCUCAAAGACAAGAUUACAGUUGAUUGGUCCAGAAGUAGGUACCUGACCCAAAAAAUGGCCAAUCAGAUUCCUUCCAAGAUCUUUUGACCUGAAUCCAAAGUAGAAAAUUGGUCUGUCUCUAGUGGUAGAAGAUACACAAUAAGAAACUCCCUGAUUUUUAAAGAGCACGUUCCCUGCCCAAAAAGGAACCUCAUCAGUCGUUAGAGAGUAUAAAAUGACUACAAACCUAACAUGGUGAGAAAUAGAAUGAAAGACACCCUCAGCAUCCAUGUCCCUAGUUCCAGUUGCUCUGAAGAUGCAGUCAAUAUCUUUACCCUUCCUGUGGCUUAGCUCUUCAACCCUUCCUUCCAAUACAUUCUCCUUCUUCUCUAAGCUACUUCAAGAUGGCUUUCUGUCACUUUCAACUAAAAGAAACAUAAUUAAUGCUAAUUCCUAAAUAAUAUAGAUUUUGAAAAACCUGAAAACUGCAAUUAAAAUGGAAACUGAAACUCCUUGACAUUAUGGUUCAUUUUCAUUUACUCUUCAUCACAAUAAUAUAGAAAAAAGCUCUGAGCAAAUUCCAGAAUUCCCAAGAAUUUUAGCCCAUUUUACCCUCGCCUACAAAUUCCUGUAUUACAUGUAGUGAGGAUCAAUAAAUCAGCAAUUAUGUAGUAUUUUCUAUUUUCCCAGCAAUAGGAAGAAUAAAAGGAGAAUAAAAUAUAUCGCAUUUAAUCAUAUGUUUACCUUGUAUGACUUACUUAGUGAGGCGAUACCACUUUAGUAAUUUGGGUAAGGUUGCUUGAGUGGUAAAAUUAAAUUUAAAUCAAUAUUUAAAUAUAGGAUUUAUUUCAAAGUCUAGUGUUAUACCACCAACCAUGCAUUAUCCCUUUCUAUCAAGAAUACUUUUAUCUCAUUCCCCUCUAUCCAAAUAUUUAAUUUUGACAAAUUUCCAACCUAAAGAAAGUUAAACAAAUAGGACAAUAAAAAUUCCAGAUACCCUCCAUCUAGAUUUAUAGAUUUACCAAUUGUUACCACUAUCGUACAUUUGUCCUCUCUCAUGUUCAAUAGAUAGUAAAAGAAAGAUGCUAAGCCAUUUGAAAGUAAGUUUCAGAUAUCUUGUCACUUUACCUCUAAAAACUGAAGAAUCUCUGAAUCUGCCUCUGUUUUGCAAUUCUUAGCAGUAACAAUUUUAAAGUGUCCAGGAGAGUUGUCUUGUAAAAUGUUCUAUAGUCUAGAUUUGUCUGGUCAUUCCUUAGAAUCAGAUUAAGCAUUUUGGGCAAGAAUACAAGAUUGGUGAUACUGUGUGUAUCUCUCUACAUCACAGCAGGAGGCAUAUAAAUCAACUUAUCCCAUAGUGGUGCUACUAAAUUUGAUCAAUUGGUUAAUGUCGUUUCUGUCAGCUCUAUCCUUUAAAGGUAUAUUUAUUUCUCUAUAAUUAAUAAAUGACUUCAGCAUCAAUAUUGCUAGUACUUACUUCAAUCAAUUAAUACAUUGGUGGUUGCAAAACAGUAAUUUUCUAAUUCUAGUUCACAUUUUGCCAGUUAGAAUUUUUCUGAAGAGGUUUUUGUCCCUGACACCCUCAUCUUUUAAAUUUAAGUAUCAUAAUAGAUUCAUGGAUUAAUUUUAAUGGAAUCUUAUGAUCCCUUACCACUAUUAUUCAUUUUGAUGCUUGAAUUGUUCCAUAUUUGGUCAAUGCAAGCACUCAUUAAGCCAGUUCCUUUUUGGCACAUUCCCAUUAGUCUUUGAGCACUUUGUUUUUAGCACAAAAUGUUCUAGGCUCACCUUACACUUUCCUAUCCCAGACCUGAAAUUAGCCAUUUUUCCUUGGAGCCCUGGUUUCUUUUAAUGGAGAAUGGUAUUAGAGACCAAGAUAAAAGUGCUAGGUGUGUUCAUUGCUUCUGGGGUGUCAUUGCUUUAGGCUCACUCAAUGAACCAAGCUGUGAAAUGAAUUUUUAAAAGUGAAUUGGUACUUAAACCUCCUACAAGUCCUACACCACAGGAUUUUUCUUCUUUCCAUUGCACACUUAUAUAGCCUCCAGGAACCCUGGUUUCCAAUUAUUUCAAUGCUAUUUAUUCAUUUGCCCUAUUCUAAAUAUGAAAUCAGUUAAUUUCAAUGCCAACAACAAGCCUGCUAAGUAAAGUGCAAGAUUCCUUUGCACUUCUUAUUCUCUUAGAAUAUGUACCACUAAUAGUAGUAUGUCAGGGUACAGUGUAUCCUGGGUGGUCAUGUUAUCAUUUUGAGAUACAGUUGAGUCCAUGUGUUUAUCACAGUCCCUUCACAACAUGACUUCCUCCUUCUUGAAUUCUGAGUUUUUGUCUAUCUUUAUUUUGGCCAAAUUAUGUUUCUAAGUAACUUUUUCAGGCUGAUAGACAUUUUUUUGAGACCUUGCCAUAUCUCUGAAUUGUUUCUGCUGUCUUAUACAUGAAUGAAAAUUUGAAUCUCUUGUUUAUUUACUGUUUAUUCCAAAUAUUUUCUAAAUUUGAUGCUAUUGCUAAAUGAAAUGAAAUUUCAUUUUCUGCUUAUAUUAGAUGUCAGUGUAUUUAUUCUGAAAAGGCACAUUAUUAAAUCAAUUUAUGAUUUAGUUUUUUAAUUGACUUUUUAACUUUCCUGAAAGAUAAUUCUAUCAUCUGAAAAUACAGAAGCUCCCCUUUAAGAAUAAUUCACUUUCAAAAAGUUGUUCACUAUCUCAAAUAUUAUUAGUCCAAACUGACAACACAUAAGUAAUUGCUCUCAGCAUCCAAUGGUAGUGAGAAGAGAGGAUGUCCUUUUGCUCAGGUAAUUAAAAUAAGUUAACAUUUAUAAUAUUAGGUUUAAAUGUGUGUCAUGCCUGCAGAAACAAAGUCAAAUGCAAAUGCUAGCAAUAAAUCUUGAAAGGAAUACAAGAUAUAAUUAGAUUAAGUUAAUUAUUUAGGAGCAAAUGCCAUUGUCUUAAUAAAUUAAACACAUAUUAUUUUUAGUAAAUUAAACACUGAUAAACUACUAAGUUCAGGAAGAAGGAUAAAAAAGUAACAGUAAGCUAAGUAACUUUCCAAAAAUUUGGGUACAUUCUUAACUUGGGUUAUUAAAGAAAUAUAAUUUUAAGAUUCUUUAUCUUCCAUAUCAUUGCCAAAUGCCAAUGUAAUGUAUGUUUCCCAUAUUGUUUGGGAAUGUUCAGCUCUGGUUUAGAAAGCUAGCAAAACAAAUGGGAAAAUAAAUGUGUUAAGAAUAGACAGUUAUUGAGCAAACAGCUUAUGAGACAUGAGAGAAACUCAUAAGAUGUAUUAAUUGUAGAUAAUAAGUAAGCAAGCAGCUUGAGAGACAAAGACAGAAUACCCAAGAUUUACUAAAUAUAUAGUAAGUUAGUAGCCACUAACACAUGUUAAAGAUAGAUAAAAUAAGUGGACUAUAUGAUGGAGCAAACAAAAAUGAUACUUACAGAAAGAGAUGGAAAGACCAAGUAAUAAAUUAUAGAUCAUGUUGCCUGUAGCCUGAUGGCUAUGUCAUCUCCAAACUGGCCACCCACUGGUAACACCUAUCAUGGUCUCAUUCUGUCCCUACUUGUGCUUUGCUCAAGAAAUUAAAAAACAAACAAACAAAAGCCAGGACUGAUCAGCAGGCCAAUUGGCAAGUCACCACAGGGGCUAGGCAUAUUUAUCUGUGUCUCUUGAAUACAGCAAGUCAGUGUGUUGACACCAGAUAACUUCCACCUGUUGGACCUCUUCAUAAUCACACCAUCAGCUGGGAGGACACGUGAGUCAAAAACAAAGGAUCGCUGGGCACGGUGGCUCACGCCUGUAAUCCUGACACUUUGUGAGGCUGAGGCGGGUGGAUCAUCUGAGGUCAGGAGUUCAAGACCAGCCUGGCCAACAUGGUGAAACCCCAUCUCUACUAAAAAUACAAAAAUUAGCCAGGUGUGGUGGUGCACUCCUGUAAUCCCAGCUACUCAAGAGGCUGAGGCAGGAGAAUUGCUUGAUCCCAGGAGUUGGAGGUAGCAGUGGGCCAAGAUCAUGCCACUGCACUCCAGCCUGGGCAACAGAGCAAGACUCCAUCUCAAAAAAAAAAAGAAAGGAUCAGAAGUCAGGCAGUGUUGUCCUUUCACUCUGCCUACAUCCUAUCCUAAGUGAAUUUACCUCUCUCAUCUCUUCCCCUAGCCUCUCACUACGUAUUUUCAAGUGAUUUAAUAAAACCAUGUGAUUUGAAC